This is a long non-coding RNA of Ruditapes philippinarum (Manila clam), 1615 nucleotides long. RefSeq lists it as uncharacterized. NCBI's taxonomy places the organism in Eukaryota, Metazoa, Mollusca, Bivalvia, Venerida, Veneridae. The record is from RefSeq and is a predicted model, not a curated record. The transcript is spliced from 3 exons.
UAUAUAUGUAUAUAUCAAUUAUGAUAACAGUUGCAGAAUUACAUGUGAAUAUGUAUAUAUUAUUUUGUAAGUUUUAAGAUAAUACAUAAUACAUGUGAAUAUGUGAAUGUUAUUUUGUAAGUGUUAAGAUUGUUAUUACUAUACGUCAACAUUCUUUGGCAGUGUGUAAAUCAUAUCAGUCAAAAUUGUGAUACUGAAGAGUUUUUUUUUGUUUUUAAGAGAAAUAACUUUGAGUGUAAUGUACCUGGUAAGAGACUUGUAAGUUAAAUAUUAAUUUUGAUAUUAUAUGUGUACCUACGUGAAAAAUUGGCAGGUAGUUUCUUUAUCAAUCAAAUCGAUCAUCUCCAAACAUUUGAUGAUUGUUGAUAUAAUGUAUAUAUGUUGAAGUCAUACACUGUUGGUUAUUUUGUAUGUUUUGUGUCCUCAUUGGCUUUAAAGCCUAUUUGAAUGAAAUAACGUGUCUUCUGCAUAAUAGAAACUGGGACAUAAUAUGAAUAAAGUCCCAAACAGAACAGUUAUUCCAUUAGAGCAGAUAAUGAAUAAAAAGUUAUUUUUAAUAUAAGUACUGAGCUUUCAACACACAAACAUUUACUUAAUUACAGUUGUCAAACUAAAAUAUAUGAUAAAUUUUACUAUUAAUUAUCAAUCCUUUAUUAAAGCAAUUUAAUAUUUUAGAAUUUUGGCAAUUCGACUCAAAAAGAAAAGAAAUAUAAAAAAUACAUUCUCUUGAUAAGUUAUUUCUUAUUAUUAUUAAAACACACAUACAUUUAUUUAAUUAUAGUUGUCUAACUAAAAUAUAUGAUAAAUUUUACUAUUAUUAUUAUUAUUAUUAUUAUUAUUAUUAAAAAAUAAAUAACUGAUUAAGCAUUAGAAUUAAAGUUUUGCCUAUGAAAAAGUAUCAAUGCUUAUGUUAUACAUGUAUGAAAAGCGUUUAUGGAUACAUGAUAUUUCCUAUUUAAUAUUUAUUAAAUUUAAAUUUAUUUUGACUUAAUAUGCUGGUUUCUUCCGGAUUAUCAAGGACCUUAAUAUAAAUCCGUGGCAUUAUUAAUGCUAAAUGCUUUAUUGUACAAACGGUAUCUAGGCAUAUCACGCGUUUUCAAAACAGCCAAUGAGUUUAAAGCGUUGGUUUUGUAUCACGUGAAUCCUAUCAACCAAUCAGAAAUAGCGCGGGCGAAAUGAAAAAAAGAAAAAAAAAGCGAUUGGAAAUGGAUGGUUAAUAAAAUUCAGAAUAUUGCAAAACAAGGACAGUGUACAGCGUGUUUAAAUCUUCCAGAAAUGCAGCUGUGCCCUCUUAACAGCAAUUAUAGAUGAAGCAAAGUAUGGUAGCAAGUAAUAUAGAUAUACACACGAGUAUACACACAUGCCGAAGAAGAAUGUAAUAUCUGGAGAAAACAUUUCCUACGUCACGAAAUAGACACCGUCACACUGGCCUAUAGAUGAUUGAUAUAUUUAAGUGCUUUUAAGAACAGUGUUUGAAUGACGAAUUUCUUAAAAAUACGGAUUUUUAAUUUUAAUGCUUAUUAUUAAAACUUUCUGUAAUUAUCAAUUUGUGCCAUGGACUCAUUAUCUUAAAAUAACAUGUGAAUGUUAACACGAGCAAAUGAUAUGAAUAUCU